This 370-nucleotide transfer-messenger RNA is filed under the name Candidatus Margulisiibacteriota bacterium. It matches the Rfam family "transfer-messenger RNA". Rfam says of the family: Bacterial tmRNA, also known as 10Sa RNA or SsrA, is named for its dual tRNA and mRNA-like properties. Its role is to liberate the mRNA from a stalled ribosome. Lineage: Bacteria; Bacillati; Candidatus Margulisiibacteriota. The record is from RNAcentral.
GGGGCUGUUCAGGUUUCGACAGAAAUGGAUGGUCGGCAAAGCGCGAGCCGAGGAGGCGUCUGGCCUCGUCAAAAGGCGCAAAAAAAUAACCGCUAACGUUGUAAAAGUAGAUUUUACUCCUCAAGCAUUAGCCGCUUAAUUUAUUAAACGGCGACCACGGAAAAACCGCCGGAGUUUUUCCUUCGGUUUAUUUUACCGGUUGCGUCUGCGGAAUGUUUUGGAUCCGCUGACAAAGAAAAGUUCUGAAACUUAAGCUCUGGUUCGCCGGUCUGCGGACAGGCUAGGGCUGAAAAUCAAACGCAGACUACGCUCGUAGUGGUUUGCCUUCAAGCAUUUUUGGACACGGGUUCGAUUCCCGUCAGCUCCACUU